GAUAGGGAAAAGAUGCAAACAAAUGUAAUUUUGUUGAGUAUUAAACUCUUGAAAAUGAUGUUACUGCUUUUUAGCUAAACCUUAAGCUUAAGCUACAUUUUACUAGUUUGUUGAGUUAAUUCAAUCAAUUGAUUAAAGUCUCUGCUUGAUGUCUAACAGUUUAAUAGUAAUGGUAAUGAUGAUGAUGAUGAUGAUGAUCAGAAGAAGCAACAGUUAAACAAAAAAGUACUUGAAAAUGUUGUCAUUGUUAAUCCUACUUUGCCAUUUCAAUUCAUAAUCAGCAAUCUUUACCCAUUUUAAAGAUGAAAAAACAUGAAUCUUGGGCUUAACGUGAAUAAUUUGCCAGCAAAAACACACAUUUUUAAUAUAAUUUUGCCAUUCAUUUGUUUCGCAUUUAUGCCAAUCAAUCCUUUUUGGAUUUAAAAUGAUCAUAGAUUAGGGUAAUUUUUUCACCACUCAAUGUUCAGUUUUCUGGUUGAAAAGGUAACUUUAACAUUAUAUUUGACCAUUUGUAGUGUUAAUUGUGAUAAUAGAUCAAGGUUUAGCUUUAGGUUUUGAUCUGGAUUUGAUUUAAGGUGUAAAAGAUGAUGCUAUUUGAAGACGAGUUAAUGUAAUCAAUACAUUUCUGGUCAGUCUGUUAUUUGAAAUAUAUUUUUUCAUCUCACUCUAAAUCAUUUUUUGGUUGUGGAUUCAGUGAAAUUGGAAAUGUAUUUAUUACUUUAAUAAUUGGGUAAUAAGUUUAGCUUCUGAUGGUGUUAAAGGUUAAUCGUAAUCACCUCUUUUUGUAUAUUCAUUAAUUUAGUUUCUUGACCUGAUAUUGUCUAGCAUUGUGAGGUCAUCAUUUGAAGAUUGUCUGUUGCCUUAUAAUGCUCACAAUUGGAUAGGGAAAAUGUUGUGAAGUUGAUUGUUUGUCUGGUUAAAUUGUUAGACAAAUAUUGGAAUAAUGUCAAAAAGCAUGGAACAGUAAUCAUGUAACUAACUAUUCAUCUGUAAAAACGUUGCAAUCAACCAGAUCGUAAGACUUGAAAUAAAUGGAGGAAACAGUUUUUUUUAUUUUGUUAAAAACAAAGAGUUACCAUUCACCCAUUAUUACCAUAGAAACUGAUGAUAUAUGAUAUUUGGAUAAGGCAAAAAGAUGGUGAAGAAAGGAUAAAGAAAACAAUAAUCACAAAGAGUUAAGAUGAUAAAGAUGAUUAUGAAGAUGGUGGAGAUGAUGAAGAAAAAUAUGAAGUAAAAGAUGCAAUAAAGAUGAAGUUAUGAUGGUAGAGUUGAAGUUAAAAUGAACCAGGCCUGAAAUAAACAACAAAAAAAGAGGGUGUUGAGGGUCAUUUUAACUGUUUGACCUUAAACAACAAUAAUAAAAAAUCUCCUCUUUUUAUUCAUUACAUUUCCAUGAUAAGUUGUAUCUUUGGUUAAACUGGCAAGUUGAAAAAUAAUAAUUGUAAUCAUAAUUUAACAAGAGAUUGUAAUUAAUGUCGUUGGCUUUUUUGGGUUAUUUUACCAGACAAACAUCGAUAUGGUUAAGAAGCGAAAAAUUUGUUAGUGAAAAUAGCCUUAUUUGUAAGUUAACUCAGCCGUUAUUUUCAGCUAAUAUUUUUAAUGAUUUAACGCUCUUAAUAUUAAUAUGUUCAUCUUUACUAUUUUGCUUUUUUUAAUUUUCAAUUGUAUUUAAUCUUAUUAAUUACUGUUCACAAGAGAUUUAAAAAUUAACUUACUGUCUUUUCAUUAAUUUGUUGACACUAUUAAAUUGAUUGUUUCACCGUCCAUUCCUAUCAACAAGCAAGUCAAGCCGUUAACUCAACAUUAUUUCAACUCCUCCACAACAAAAACUAUACCACAUCUAUUAACAUAAACCUGUUGAUUUAAUUUGUUCAACUCAAUAGUAUUUGUUAUCGUUAUUAAUUUUAUUUGAUAACCUUUUCAAGUCAUCAGUUAAAUUAGUGGAAACAAUAAUGUUAAUAAGUCUCUUUUUGAUUUAUACAUGUGAGCAGCGGAUAAAGACUAUAAUGUGCUUUAUGCUAACAAUGGCUGCGUAACCCUUUUCAAUCAGUUAUCCUUUUUGUGUGCUUUUCUGCUUUCACAUCAACCUCUGUUAAACCCUUUUGGAACAAUUAAACAUUAUGGAUAAAAUUGGUUUCAAGUGUGCAGCUUAUUUUCAUUAUUAUUACUUUACCAUAUAAAAAAAGGGAAACCAAACACAGAGACAAACCAAAUGCAGGCGAAUGACAAAAAAAGAGAAAGACUUUAAAAUGGACAAAACGAUAUAAAAUUAACUCACUAAAUCAAGUUUGUUAAUAAUUUAAUCAAUUAACUUGACACCAGACAAAUAGAGAAAGUUCACUCUCUGCUGUUUGUUUUGUAUCAUUCAACUUAAUGGGUUAAAACAAUAUCAAAGGCAAAGUAAUCCAGGAAUACACGAACAUACGGAUGGAUCUGCAUUUUGUUGAAUCUAGUAUUUCCAAUCAAUGAAACAGUUUUUAAAUUAAUUGAUUGGCUGAUCAUUGUAACAAACCUGAUUGUAAACUUGUUGAUUGCAAUUGAACACACGCACAGUCAAGACACAUGUUGCCAUUUGUUGAUUUAUCAACCAGCAACAUGCCUUCACUGGUUCCAAAGCUUAAAGUUAAUCUUUCCAAAUCAUAAUUCAUAACAAUCAUUUCAUAUUGAUUUGAUUCUUCAACGAUUAUCAACAAUCAAACCAUCAAUUAGUCGACAACAAGUGAAGCCAAUAAUCAAAAAUGAAACUUAUCACAUUCAUCAGGAAAUAAUUGCUUGAAUAAUCUAGAUGUAACUGAUGAGAAAUGACGAUAAUAAUGAAUGAUGCAAAUUAAAUCAUGUAAAUUGAGUCAAAAUUAAGGCUUAAAAUUUGCCUAAUUUUGAUUAUAAACCAUAACAAUCUUACAAUGAACAAUAAGCAAGCAUUGAAACAAUACGGACAAUCAAGUAAAUUGUAUAUAAAUAGAGUUAAAUGUAACAUGAAUGGGCAACUAUUUUCAUUACCUUGUUAUAAAAUCUGGUAAAAAUGAA
Molecule: non-coding RNA, 3027 nt
Organism: Tetranychus urticae (two-spotted spider mite)
Lineage: Eukaryota; Metazoa; Arthropoda; Arachnida; Trombidiformes; Tetranychidae
Source: RefSeq, a predicted model, not a curated record